RNAcentral lists this small RNA (127 nucleotides) under Marmota monax (woodchuck). The record is from RNAcentral. Lineage: Eukaryota; Metazoa; Chordata; Mammalia; Rodentia; Sciuridae.
GCUGGGCGCAGUGGCACGUGCCUGUAAUCCAAGAGAUUUGGGAGGCUGAGGCAGGAGGAUCCUAUGUUCAAGUCGAGCCUUGGCAAUUUAGCGAGGCCCUCAACAAUGUAGGGAGACCCUGCCUCAA